AGACUACAAGCAGCAUUCAUCAAACAGCUUUUUCCGAAUUACGAUUUAUGCCUGGCGGCCAUAGCGUUGUGGAACCACCUGACUCCAUGCCGAACUCAGUAGUGAAACGCGACCGCGCCGAUGAUAGUGUGGCAGCUGCCAUGUGAAAGUAGGUCACUGCCAGGC
This 165-nucleotide ribosomal RNA is filed under the name Oceanimonas baumannii. Lineage: Bacteria; Pseudomonadati; Pseudomonadota; Gammaproteobacteria; Aeromonadales; Aeromonadaceae. The record is from RNAcentral.